ACGAACGCUGGCGGCAUGCCUAACACAUGCAAGUCGAACGAGACCUUCGGGUCUAGUGGCGCACGGGUGCGUAACGCGUGGGAAUCUGCCCUUGGGUACGGAAUAACAGCGAGAAAUUGCUGCUAAUACCGUAUAAUGACGUAAGUCCAAAGAUUUAUCGCCCAGGGAUGAGCCCGCGUAGGAUUAGCUUGUUGGUGAGGUAAAAGCUCACCAAGGCGACGAUCCUUAGCGGUCUGAGAGGAUGAUCAGCCACACUGGGACUGAGACACGGCCCAGACUCCUACGGGAGGCAGCAGUGGGGAAUAUUGGACAAUGGGCGAAAGCCUGAUCCAGCAAUGCCGCGUGAGUGAUGAAGGCCUUAGGGUUGUAAAGCUCUUUCAGCUCCGACGAAGCGAGAGUGAC
Molecule: ribosomal RNA, 402 nt
Filed under: uncultured bacterium
Lineage: Bacteria
Description: bacterial SSU rRNA
Rfam family: Bacterial small subunit ribosomal RNA
Source: RNAcentral